CAGAGGUUUAAAAAUUGGAAACAUACAAAAUAGAGUAGAGGGUGCUUCUUCAGGCUAAUGUAAAGUUAUGUCAUCAUGCGACUUUUAUAAUGCUACUGUAGAGGGAUUGUGACCCCUGGAGUGACUCCCUCCCUGUCUGAGCCACUUGCCUAUAGACAGAGGGUCUCAAGCAGUGCUGCCUAUUGUGUCACUAUGUCACCAAAGCUAGCCAGCCUGACUGCUGCAGAGAAGUUAACACCGCUGUGCAUGGUAAACAACACCUGAGAAGCCCAGUGUGGAAAAUGCAAUGAUGCUUUGUAGAUUUUGAUUUCAGACUGUGCCUCUUCUCUUUGGCUCCCUGAUGCUGUUGCUGAGCCUUGUGGAUCUCCUGUGGAUCUGGUGUACCUGAGCACAAGGCCCAAAGGGAACCACUUUGUCUCCACGGCAACAGGGGAAACACAACGAUGGUGCUCGACUGACCUGGUAAAUGAGAGUCCCCAGGUGACUGAUGCAGGAAAUACUAUACCAGGGCACUUACUUUUGUAGUUUUGACCUGAAGGGAGACAGUGUUGUGAAUGUUCUGUACAUUUUGUAGCUCAUAUGUCGAGACUCAAAAUGCAAUGUGUCACUUUUACUUUUGCUCCAAAAAGUGACAGAAAUAUAUGUUUUAUUUGUCACCGUUCAUAAAAAUUAAUUCACCCUCUCUCCCCCCUAUUACUUAAUGAAGUGUACAUUAGUAUGAUUUUGAUGUAAAGGCACUUUAUUUUGAGUGUUUCCAUUUUGUAUGACCUUGUAUUUCACUGCAUUUCAGAAGCAAAUAUGUGGGUUUUUACUCCACUAUAUUUAUCAGCAGUUGUAGAUACUAGUUAUUUUAUUGUAUUGUAAGUUUACGUAAGAUGUGCUGUAUUGGUCCCCCUAGGUUUGUAUUAAAUGUGUGUGAAAUUG
Molecule: long non-coding RNA, 924 nt
Organism: Siniperca chuatsi (mandarin fish)
Lineage: Eukaryota; Metazoa; Chordata; Actinopteri; Centrarchiformes; Sinipercidae
Exons: 3
Source: RefSeq, a predicted model, not a curated record